AAAAAAAAACAAAUAAUAAUAAAAAAAAACAACAAAAAAACAAAAAAAAAAAACAAAAAAAAAAAAAAACAAAAAAAAAACAAAAAAAAAAAAUACGAAAAAAUAAAAAGGACAAAAAAGGAGAAAAGAACUUUAGAUGAUGAUGUGUGUGCGAUCAUGGUUUGCUACCUAGACAAUUUGAAAUCUUUCCGAACUUUUAAUAAACUCAAAGACAUUUUUAAAAUGGUUUGGUUUUGCUCUAGAGAAAGAAGACAACUACCCGAGGUAAGUAGUUCUAUGUUAAUUUUACAAUCAUUUGGAAGCCAGCGCAGACUUUCAUACAUUUUAUUUCGUAUGUCUGAAUAUAAUAUACAUUUAAAAAAGAAAUGAUAGGAAUCUUCACGAUUAACACCACAGCGGCAGGAAGGGUCAGAAAUAAU
RNAcentral lists this long non-coding RNA (419 nucleotides) under Mytilus galloprovincialis (Mediterranean mussel). Lineage: Eukaryota; Metazoa; Mollusca; Bivalvia; Mytilida; Mytilidae. The record is from RNAcentral.